RNAcentral lists this ribosomal RNA (465 nucleotides) under Vreelandella stevensii. RNAcentral's name for it is "partial 16S ribosomal RNA". It matches the Rfam family "Bacterial small subunit ribosomal RNA", at positions 338 to 795 of the family's 1533-position model. The record is from RNAcentral. Lineage: Bacteria; Pseudomonadati; Pseudomonadota; Gammaproteobacteria; Oceanospirillales; Halomonadaceae.
CCUACGGGGUGCAGCAGUGGGGAAUAUUGGACAAUGAGCGAAAGCCUGAUCCAGCCAUGCCGCGUGUGUGAAGAAGGCCUUCGGGUUGUAAAGCACUUUCAGUGGGGAAGAAAGCCUUGGGGCUAAUACCCUCGAGGAAGGACAUCACCCACAGAAGAAGCACCGGCUAACUCCGUGCCAGCAGCCGCGGUAAUACGGAGGGUGCGAGCGUUAAUCGGAAUUACUGGGCGUAAAGCGCGCGUAGGCGGUCUGAUAAGCCGGUUGUGAAAGCCCCGGGCUCAACCUGGGAACGGCAUCCGGAACUGUCAGGCUAGAGUGCAGGAGAGGAAGGUAGAAUUCCCGGUGUAGCGGUGAAAUGCGUAGAGAUCGGGAGGAAUACCAGUGGCGAAGGCGGCCUUCUGGACUGACACUGACGCUGAGGUGCGAAAGCGUGGGUAGCAAACAGGAUUAGAUACCCGAGUAGUC